This 74-nucleotide transfer RNA is filed under the name Mesorhizobium sp. ORS 3359. Its description in RNAcentral is "tRNA-Pro". It matches the Rfam family "tRNA". From Rfam's summary of the family: Transfer RNA (tRNA) molecules are approximately 80 nucleotides in length. Lineage: Bacteria; Pseudomonadati; Pseudomonadota; Alphaproteobacteria; Hyphomicrobiales; Phyllobacteriaceae. The record is from RNAcentral.
GCCGAUGUAGCUCAGAGGUGAGAGCGCCGGAUUGGGUCCGGAGGUCGAGGGUUCGAGUCCCUUCAUCAGCACCA